Small nucleolar RNA from Ornithorhynchus anatinus (platypus), 138 nucleotides. The record is from RefSeq and is a predicted model, not a curated record. NCBI's taxonomy places the organism in Eukaryota, Metazoa, Chordata, Mammalia, Monotremata, Ornithorhynchidae.
CCCCUCUCAGGAUCGCAGCUGGAGAGUUUCCAGUACUAGACCAGUCUUGGCUACGGAAGGGAGAGUCAAGCAGAUGCAUACCCAUUCCACUCCUGGCUUGGGCAGUGGCUAGUGAGUGGAAAGCAAUCUGCUACAAGU